UGGCGGCAAUAGCGCGGUGGUCCCACCUGACCCCAUGCCGAACUCAGCAGUGAAACGCCGUAGCGCCGAUGGUAGUGUGGGGUCUCCCCAUGUGAGAGUAGGAUACUGCCAGACA
This 115-nucleotide ribosomal RNA is filed under the name Xenorhabdus szentirmaii DSM 16338. Lineage: Bacteria; Pseudomonadati; Pseudomonadota; Gammaproteobacteria; Enterobacterales; Morganellaceae. The record is from RNAcentral.